Molecule: long non-coding RNA, 1198 nt
Filed under: Meleagris gallopavo (turkey)
Lineage: Eukaryota; Metazoa; Chordata; Aves; Galliformes; Phasianidae
Description: lncRNA (ENSMGAG00000020867.1)
Source: RNAcentral
UUACCAUAUUGAUUCUUUUGAUAUACAUUCUUCUUUGGUACAUCAGCAUUCAUCUUCACUUUUGUACUACAAAACAGCAGCAACUGUACCCAAGUUAACACCGUCUCUUUUCUUACUUUUACCUUCAAUAGCUUUGACUUAAUUCUGAACUUUGAACAGGUUUCCUUCUGAAACAAAUGCGAGUUGCUUCCAUUAUUGCUAUUCUGGAGAGUCUGUCAUGCUAGCAAAUAGCUUUGUAUUUACAGCAGUUAAUAAUGAUACCUAGUCUACUACAUUACAUAGUUGUCUUUUUGUAUUAAUGCAUUUUUUUUCUCUUUCUGUGCCCUUGGGCUUUCAGCACAUAAUUCAUUUACGGACAAAGCACUUGUAUGGUCCUAUUUUGUAAACUAUUCAAAACACUGUCAGUGAAAAAUGCAACAAGAGAGAGCCCUAGAGGGCCCACCUUGCAUUGCACUGAAACUUUGAAAUCAUUCAGAAACAAAAUACGCACUCUGUCUCCUGUGCUUCAGAUCUUAUUUAGAAUGACAGUAGACAGGGCACAGGGGCCAGGGAGGCAUAAAAUGCUUGCAAAACAAUUAUAUGCCACAGAGAAAUUCACAGUUGAUAACAGCAGAAGAUUGUUUAUUGCCUUGUUUACACCUCCACCUUGAGCAUUAUUCUCUGCUGUAUGGAAGACUGAACAAACCACAGCACUCAAACACAUUUGUUUCUCUGCAGAGGUUCUGUAAGGCACACGUGUUAAAGAUGGCAUUCAAAGUGCUUUUUGCUCUGCAUGCCUCUGGCUGUGCAGGAAUACACCCAUCACAUGUGUACAGCAGGUAGGAGACCCAGUUCACCACCACACCGUGACCACAGACACCAGAGCCUGCCUGACAGGACAAAGUCACAAGGAAAUGAUUCCCCCACACAUUUGCCCCAGUACAGUCUGAGAGCUGAACAAUAUUUUUCAAAUAAUAGAGAAGAACAGUUUAUCUUACCUUUAAGAGCAGACCACACAGCAUCCACCGGACAGCCCAGCAGAGCACGAUCCUUCCCUUCCCCAGCCAACAGGUGCACGCCACCAGUCCUCAGCUCCAGCUGUCCUGCAUGCACACCUGGGCUGCAGUUGCAAUCCUCUGCUCCUUCACCCUGCUUUUCCACUUUCCUGAGAUCCCAUCUUCUUGAACCUGUUUCAUGUAGAGGUCUGGAUGGCUGUUAA